Molecule: ribosomal RNA, 406 nt
Filed under: uncultured bacterium
Lineage: Bacteria
Description: partial 16S ribosomal RNA
Rfam family: Bacterial small subunit ribosomal RNA
Source: RNAcentral
AUUGAACGCUGGCGGCAGGCCUAACACAUGCAAGUCGAACGAGUGGCGGACGGGAGAGUAAUGUGUGGGAAACUGCCCGAUGGAGGGGGAAAACUACUGGAAACGGUCGCUAAUACCACAUACUAUCGUAUGUGCCCAGAUGGGAUUGGCUAGUAGGUGGGGUAAUGUCUCACCUAGGCGACGAUCCCUAGCUGGUCUGAGAGGAUGACCAGCAACACUGGAACUGAGACACGGUCCAGACUCCUACGGGAGGCAGCAGUGGGGAAUAUUGCACAAUGGGCGCAAGCCUGAUGCAGCCAUGCCGCGUGUGUGAAGAAGGCCUUCGGGUUGUAAAGCACUUUCAGCGGGGAGGCGUUACCCGCAGAAGAAGCACCGGCUAACUCCGUGCCAGCAGCCGCGGUAAUAC